Molecule: ribosomal RNA, 465 nt
Filed under: Vreelandella stevensii
Lineage: Bacteria; Pseudomonadati; Pseudomonadota; Gammaproteobacteria; Oceanospirillales; Halomonadaceae
Description: partial 16S ribosomal RNA
Rfam family: Bacterial small subunit ribosomal RNA
Source: RNAcentral
CCUAGGGGGUGCAGCAGUGGGGAAUAUUGGACAAUGGGCGAAAGCCUGAUCCAGCCAUGCCGCGUGUGUGAAGAAGGCCUUCGGGUUGUAAAGCACUUUCAGUGGGGAAGAAAGCCUUGGGGCUAAUACCCUCGAGGAAGGACAUCACCCAUAGAAUAAGCACCGGCUAACUCCGUGCCAGCAGCCGCGGUAAUACGGAGGGUGCGAGCGUUAAUCGGAAUUACUGGGCGUAAAGCGCGCGUAGGCGGUCUGAUAAGCCGGUUGUGAAAGCCCCGGGCUCAACCUGGGAACGGCAUCCGGAACUGUCAGGCUAGAGUGCAGGAGAGGAAGGUAGAAUUCCCGGUGUAGCGGUGAAAUGCGUAGAGAUCGGGAGGAAUACCAGUGGCGAAGGCGGCCUUCUGGACUGACACUGACGCUGAGGUGCGAAAGCGUGGGUAGCAAACAGGAUUAGAUACCCCUGUAGUC